UUAUGUCCAGGGCUACACACGUGCUACAAUGGGCGGUACAAAGGGUCGCAAACCCGUAAGGGGGAGCAAAUCCAUCGAAAGCCGUCCUCAGUUCGGAUUGAGGUCUGCAACUCGACCUCAUGAAGCUGGAAUCGCUAGUAAUCGCGGAUCAGCACGCCGCGGUGAAUACGUUCCGGGCCUU
RNAcentral lists this ribosomal RNA (181 nucleotides) under uncultured Syntrophorhabdus sp. RNAcentral describes it as "partial 16S ribosomal RNA". It matches the Rfam family "Bacterial small subunit ribosomal RNA", at positions 1202 to 1382 of the family's 1533-position model. Lineage: Bacteria; Pseudomonadati; Thermodesulfobacteriota; Syntrophorhabdia; Syntrophorhabdales; Syntrophorhabdaceae. The record is from RNAcentral.